CCAUCUCUCACAGUGAGCAGUGUAUCACUUGGCCCAGACUCAUGGUGGUGAAUAAUACAUCAGGAGACCAGAGAGAAGGAUGGAGAGAUGGAGAAAGAUAUGACAAAAAGUGCUUGGAUUGAAGGAAAGGAAGAAGGACGAGUUAGAAAGGAAGAACAAUGGAUGGAUAGAAACACCAGAGGGCCUGGUGGUUUCUACGGUGAUGAGGGAGACGGUUGCCAUGGGAACAUGACAAGCAGCAGCCGCCCGGUGCUUUGGGGAGUGAUUGGUGGCAGCUCCUCCAGUCCUGAACUCUUGUCCUUUUUACUGUGACUCUCCCUCACCGCACAGACACGUCAGAUGAGCAGAGAGGGCGAUGGAGAAAUGAGACGGAGGAAUGAAAUUCUAGACAAAGAGCAGGUUCCUGUCAUUUCCAUUGCGGUGCAGAACCCUAGAAUCAUUUAAUUCCAUCCCUUGAAAAUAGUCUUUGUUAAAGCAAGAGCAUAAGAGGA
This is a long non-coding RNA of Salvelinus fontinalis (brook trout), 491 nucleotides long. RefSeq lists it as uncharacterized. Lineage: Eukaryota; Metazoa; Chordata; Actinopteri; Salmoniformes; Salmonidae. The transcript is spliced from 3 exons. The record is from RefSeq and is a predicted model, not a curated record.